UGAGGAACAUGACCUUCGGCGGGGGAUAGCCGGCCCAACGGCCGGGUAAUACCGCGUACGACCACAUGGGGACAUCCCUGAGUGGUGAAAGCAGCAAUGCGCCGAUGGAGUGCCUCGCGGCCUAUCAGCUAGUUGGUGAGGUAACGGCUCACCGAGGCAAUGACGGGUAGCUGGUCUGAGAGGAUGGCCAGCCACAGUUGGGACUGAGACGCCGGCCCAGACCUCCGG
RNAcentral lists this ribosomal RNA (228 nucleotides) under uncultured bacterium. RNAcentral describes it as "partial 16S ribosomal RNA". It matches the Rfam family "Bacterial small subunit ribosomal RNA", at positions 118 to 344 of the family's 1533-position model. The record is from RNAcentral.